CCUGCGGAGGAUCAUUAUUGAAUGAACUUGGCGUGGUUGUUGCUGGCCCUCUCUUGGGGGCAUGUGCACACCCGCCAUCUCCAUCUCUCCACCUGUGCACCUCUUGUAGACUUGGAAUAAACUUUCCGAGGAAACUCGGUCGGGAGGGAAUGCUGUCGUUUGGCGUCAGCUUUCUUUGGACUUCCAAAGCCUACGUUUUUCAUAUACCCGUAGUAUGUAGCAGAAUGUAUCAUUUGGGCCUCAGUGCCUAUAAACCAUAUACAACUUUCAGCAACGGAUCUCUUGGCUCUCGCAUCGAUGAAGAACGCAGCGAAAUGCGAUAAGUAAUGUGAAUUGCAGAAUUCAGUGAAUCAUCGAAUCUUUGAACGCACCUUGCGCUCCUUGGUAUUCCGAGGAGCAUGCCUGUUUGAGUGUCAUUUAAUUCUCAACCUUAUUAGCUUUUGCUGAUAAUGGCUUGGAUGUGGGGGGUUAUAUUUUGCUGGCUUCUUCCACAGAGGUCAGCUCCCCUGAAAUGCAUUAGCUGGUGCCCCGCGUGGACUGUCUAUUUGGUGUGAUAAUUAUCUACGCCGUGGAUGUCUGCAAUUGGUUUUGGCGCUGCUUCUAACUGUCUGUUCAUUUGGACAAUACAUGACAAUUGACCUCAAAUCAGGAG
This 652-nucleotide ribosomal RNA is filed under the name Hymenogaster griseus. RNAcentral describes it as "eukaryotic LSU rRNA". The stretch from base 263 to 416 matches the Rfam family "5.8S ribosomal RNA". The record is from RNAcentral. Lineage: Eukaryota; Fungi; Basidiomycota; Agaricomycetes; Agaricales; Hymenogastraceae.